UCCCUGGUGGCUCAGAUGGUAAAGAAUCUGCCUGCAAUGCAGGAGACCCAGGUUUGAUCCCUGGGUUGGGAA
This is a transfer RNA of Ovis aries (sheep), 72 nucleotides long. It matches the Rfam family "tRNA". From Rfam's summary of the family: Transfer RNA (tRNA) molecules are approximately 80 nucleotides in length. The record is from Rfam. NCBI's taxonomy places the organism in Eukaryota, Metazoa, Chordata, Mammalia, Artiodactyla, Bovidae.